Lycium barbarum (goji berry) is the source of this 830-nucleotide long non-coding RNA. RefSeq lists it as uncharacterized. The record is from RefSeq and is a predicted model, not a curated record. NCBI's taxonomy places the organism in Eukaryota, Viridiplantae, Streptophyta, Magnoliopsida, Solanales, Solanaceae. The transcript is spliced from 3 exons.
ACAUAUUGGAUUUUUGAGAAAUAAAGUCAAAUUUGGUUUUUAAGUAACAUAAGAGUUGUGCAUGAAAGAAUGGGGUCAUGGAAGUGUGGGACAAGGUUAAGGGUAAUUUUGGAAUUUUAGAAAUUAGUUUCGGGAAUUAUGCAAUGUGAUCUGUAAGUUAUUGGGCCAAAAAAAUUUGAAUGGAAAAUUGAGGCCCAAAAGUAGGGCAUGGCCGGCCAUGGGAAGGCCCAAACCCAUGGCCUUAUAACAUUUUUUUCAUGUGGUUAAUUGACUAAUGGACCAUAUUGUAUUAUAUAUGUGAUCUUAUCUAGUAAAUUCUAAAGAUAAGAAGCAAGAAAAUAAGAAAAGCAAGAGCAAGAAGAGAGAAGGGUUCGGGUGACCCUAAGGAAAAUUCACCAUUAAAAAUAUUGCUCCAAAAAUUCUUGUCUUGUUGAAUUUCUACUAAGUUUAGUACCCUUGUUAACUUGGUGUAGUUGGUUUGGAGAAAGGAGACCUUAUUUCAUCAAAGUGAACACAAGUUCAAGUGAAGAAGACUUGAGGAAAAGAUUUUUGACGAAACGGGAAGUGAGUUUGGAAAGGCGUAAAGAGCUUGAAAGGUACUGACGAUAGGUUUGCCGAUCCGUCUGUCUAGGAUAUCUUUUCCGCCAUUUGGAGCCCUCUUUUAUUCAGAGCCAUCUUUUGGUACAGUCUGUCACUUCUAUAUGUGUAUAUUCUGGUUCAUGGGUACGGCGGGGCCCUGUCCCGCCAUAUGAUUUUGUUGGUCCAUUUAGAGGUCUGUAGACAUGUUUGUGGGUUGGGAUCUUUCUGUACAGCUGUGUGUAUAUGUUGUG